Molecule: ribosomal RNA, 200 nt
Filed under: uncultured yeast
Lineage: Eukaryota; Fungi
Description: partial 26S ribosomal RNA
Rfam family: Eukaryotic large subunit ribosomal RNA
Source: RNAcentral
GCAUAUCAAUAAGCGGAGGAAAAGAAACCAACAGGGAUUGCCUUAGUAACGGCGAGUGAAGCGGCAAAAGCUCAAAUUUGAAAUCGGCCUCCAGGUCGAGUUGUAAUUUGUAGAUUGUAUCUUGAGAGCGGACUAAAGUCUGUUGGAACACAGCGCCUUAGAGGGUGACAGCCCCGUAAAGUCUAUUCUCACAGUAAGAU